This 271-nucleotide ribosomal RNA is filed under the name uncultured bacterium. RNAcentral describes it as "partial 16S ribosomal RNA". It matches the Rfam family "Bacterial small subunit ribosomal RNA", at positions 335 to 603 of the family's 1533-position model. The record is from RNAcentral.
GUUCCUACUGGAGGCAGCAGUGAGGAAUAUUGGUCAAUGGCCGAAGGGCUGAACCAGCCAAGCCGCGUGAAUGAAUAAGGCCCUACGGGUCGUAAACUUCUUUAGUCAGGGAACAAAGGGAGCCACGCGUGGCGCUGUGAGUGUACCUGAAGAAUAAGCAUCGGCUAACUCCGUGCCAGCAGCCGCGGUAAUACGGAGGAUGCGAGCGUUAUCCGGAUUUAUUGGGUUUAAAGGGUGCGUAGGCGGAAUGCCAAGUCAGCGGUAAAAUCGC